Brachypodium distachyon (stiff brome) is the source of this 74-nucleotide non-coding RNA. The record is from Rfam. NCBI's taxonomy places the organism in Eukaryota, Viridiplantae, Streptophyta, Magnoliopsida, Poales, Poaceae.
GGGGAUGUAGCUCAAUUGGUAGAGCAAAUGCAAAUGCUUGUGUUAGGUAUGGGGUUUGAUUCCUUGCAUCUCCA